Molecule: long non-coding RNA, 1325 nt
Organism: Mauremys reevesii (Reeves's turtle)
Lineage: Eukaryota; Metazoa; Chordata; Testudines; Geoemydidae
Exons: 2
Source: RefSeq, a predicted model, not a curated record
GCUCAGAGAGCCCUCUACAGGGAGGUCAUGCAGGAGAACUAUGCCAUUGUGGCCUCACUGGGUGUGGAGGAGCUGCACCUUUGACCUCCUCCAGAGUCUGCUCAAGGAAUGCCCUCUCAGGUACCAGGCCUCCAGCCAUCACCUCUCUAUGGGCAGGGACAUAGGAGUCGCUGCAUCUCGACCAAGGUUUGAGGCUUGCAGUCCCCUCACCCUUCAUUGCAUUCACUGGCCCAAAGUCCAGCCCCUGUGCUUUGCUUCUCUCCAAGGGCUGUGACCAGCACGUGUGUGACGGAUGUGGGAAUUUUGGUAAAAUUUCUGUUAUUCCAGUACAUCCCUCGGCUGCCCUCUGUAUUUGGUGUUGCUCAGCUCUGAGUGUGAAGAGCUGUGACAGGGUGAUACAAAUGGCUCAUGAAGACACUGACUGUGACUAACCCAUAUCAAUGGAAGACCUUACAGAGUCCACAGUAACCCCCAGGACUGAGCACUUGACAUCUAUCAAUGAGAGGUUCCCAGCUUGUCUGGGUGGAGCGCACGUGAACUCAGCAUGUUCUGAGGAGCGGGAAGAAGAGGGCUCCCAGAAACAGGGAGCUUUCCUGGAACUAAGACAAAGGGACAGACACAGGGAAAGGACACCCAAUGAGUUCCUACAGCAGUGUGGCUCAAGGGCUUUGUCCAGUAUGGAUUAUGUCCUAACCUUUACUUCUCUGUGGUAACCUAAGGACUUGCCCAUGCUGCGUUCCAGUUGACUAAUAAACCCUACUCUUUUUUAAAAGGCUGCUGGGUAUCACUGCAGAUACUUUCUGGGUGCAUUAAUCCCUGAAGAAUGUAACAGUCUCUGACCAGGAGUCUAUCUCAGCUGGACUUGCUGGGUACAGCUCAUGGCGUAAGGCAGGAGAGCUGGAGCCCAGAGACUCAGUCUCAGAGGCAUUAAGGCUGCAUGGCCUACCCUGAGGGAAGAGCAGGAUCCUUGGGGAUUUGGCACACUGAAGGGGUUCCUCUAGGGACUGUUUAAAAGCUGAGGUAUAGGACAGACUGAGGAUCCAUGACAGUGGGUGGCAGCUGGUGGGAUUCUGAAUGCAACAGGAGGAUUUUGCAAUAAGUAACUUGUAGCAGUGAAAACAAGACUAGUCAACGGAAAGUGGAAAAAAAUGGAGUAUAUCCACCUCCCUAAGAAGAGCAUCACAGAGCUGUGCAGUGGGAGCGUGUUCAGUGUUGGGAAAUUACACAAGGCUCAGCCGAGUGCAUGGCUGGAGAAGGAUGAUCGAAUCUAGGUCUAAACCCAGGUGGGAUUUUGAGAGAGUCCCAGGGCCACAGAGGCACCUGCA